CGGCGAACGGGUGAGUAACGCGUGGGUAACCUGCCCUAAAGUCUGGGAUAACAGCCCGAAAGGGUUGCUAAUACCGGAUGUGAUUGUCAGAAGUGCGCUUUUGACAAUUAAAGAUUUAUCGCUUUAGGAUGGGCCCGCGUCCCAUUAGCUAGUUGGUAGGGUAAUGGCCUACCAAGGCGACGAUGGGUAGCCGGCCUGAGAGGGUGACCGGCCACACUGGGACUGAGACACGGCCCAGACUCCUACGGGAGGCAGCAGUAGGGAAUUUUGCGCAAUGGGGGAAACCCUGACGCAGCGACGCCGCGUGGGUGAAGAAGGCCUUCGGGUCGUAAAACCCUGUCCUCUGGGAAGAAACGGACGGUACCAGAGGAGGAAGCCCCGGCUAACUACGUGCCAGCAGCCGCGGUAAUACGUAGGGGGCGAGCGUUGUCCGGAAUUACUGGGCGUAAA
This 450-nucleotide ribosomal RNA is filed under the name uncultured bacterium. Its description in RNAcentral is "bacterial SSU rRNA". It matches the Rfam family "Bacterial small subunit ribosomal RNA", at positions 96 to 564 of the family's 1533-position model. The record is from RNAcentral.